UGGGGAAUUUUGGACAAUGGGCGCAAGCCUGAUCCAGCAAUGCCGCGUGCAGGAUGAAGGCCUUCGGGUUGUAAACCGCUUUUGUACGGAGCGAAAAGGUCUGCCCUAAUACGGUGGGCUCAUGACGGUACCGUAAGAAUAAGCACCGGCUAACUACGUGCCAGCAGCCGCGGUAAUACGUAGGGUGCAAGCGUUAAUCGGAAUUACUGGGCGUAAAGCGUGCGCAGGCGGUUAUGCAAGACGGAUGUGAAAUCCCCGGGCUCAACCUGGGAACUGCAUUUGUGACUGCAUAGCUGGAGUGCGGCAGAGGGGGAUGGAAUUCCGCGUGUAGCAGUGAAAUGCGUAGAUAUGUGGAGGAACACCGAUGGCGAAGGCAGCCCCCUGGGUCAAGAUUGACGCUCAUGCACGAGAGCGUGGGGAGCAAACA
RNAcentral lists this ribosomal RNA (427 nucleotides) under uncultured bacterium. Its description in RNAcentral is "bacterial SSU rRNA". It matches the Rfam family "Bacterial small subunit ribosomal RNA", at positions 355 to 774 of the family's 1533-position model. The record is from RNAcentral.